GAUCACGAGAACCGGUCACACAGGCUCUGGCUUGGCCGGUCGGCAACCCUUUCCCGCGUGACGGGGUGCCCCAGAUGACGAUCCGGCCGCGAAGCUCGUAUUCACUGAGAUGGAUUUAUCUUCAGCGGCAAGCACGGCGC
RNAcentral lists this non-coding RNA (140 nucleotides) under Nesterenkonia sp. RNAcentral describes it as "SAM-IV sequence". It matches the Rfam family "SAM (S-adenosyl methionine) riboswitch aptamer". From Rfam's summary of the family: SAM-IV is a mRNA element that regulates gene expression via direct sensing of S-adenosylmethionine (SAM or AdoMet). SAM-IV riboswitches share conserved nucleotide positions with the previously described SAM-I riboswitches sequence analysis and molecular recognition experiments suggest that SAM-I and SAM-IV riboswitches share similar ligand binding sites, but have different scaffolds. Lineage: Bacteria; Bacillati; Actinomycetota; Actinomycetes; Micrococcales; Micrococcaceae. The record is from RNAcentral.